CAGUAGCCGCGGUAAUACGAGGGGGGCAAGCGUUGUUCGGAUUUAUUGGGCGUAAAGGGUGCGUAGGCGGUUUGGCAAGUCUUGUGUGAAAUCUUCGGGCUCAACCCGAAGCCUGCACGAGAGACUACCGGGCUUGAGUAUUGGAGAGGUGAGUGGAAUUUCCGGUGUAGCGGCGAAAUGCGUAGAUAUCUGAAGGAACACCUGUGGCGAAAGCGGCUCACUGGACAAUAACUGACGCUGAUGCACGAAAGCUAGGGGAGCAAACAGGAUUAGAUACCCCCGUAGUCCCUGUCUCUUAUAC
Molecule: ribosomal RNA, 301 nt
Filed under: uncultured bacterium
Lineage: Bacteria
Description: partial 16S ribosomal RNA
Rfam family: Bacterial small subunit ribosomal RNA
Source: RNAcentral